UACGAGGGGGGCAAAUGUUGUUCGGAAUCACUGGGCGUAAAGGGAGCGUAGGCGGGUUCUUAAGUUAGGUGUUUAAUCCCGGGGCCCAACCCCGGACCGGCACUUAAAACUGGGAAUCUUGAGUAGUGGAGAGGUCAGUGGAAUUGGGGGUGUAGCGGUGGAAUGCGUAGAGAUCCCCAAGAACACCAGUUGCGAAGGCGGCUGACUGGACACAUAUUGACGCUGAGGCUCGAAAGCAUGGGGAGCAAACAGG
This 253-nucleotide ribosomal RNA is filed under the name uncultured bacterium. RNAcentral's name for it is "partial 16S ribosomal RNA". It matches the Rfam family "Bacterial small subunit ribosomal RNA", at positions 524 to 776 of the family's 1533-position model. The record is from RNAcentral.